Molecule: ribosomal RNA, 576 nt
Filed under: uncultured Vibrio sp.
Lineage: Bacteria; Pseudomonadati; Pseudomonadota; Gammaproteobacteria; Vibrionales; Vibrionaceae
Description: bacterial SSU rRNA
Rfam family: Bacterial small subunit ribosomal RNA
Source: RNAcentral
GCUAAUACCGCAUAAUGCCUACGGGCCAAAGAGGGGGACCUUCGGGCCUCUCGCGUCAAGAUAUGCCUAGGUGGGAUUAGCUAGUUGGUGAGGUAAUGGCUCACCAAGGCGACGAUCCCUAGCUGGUCUGAGAGGAUGAUCAGCCACACUGGAACUGAGACACGGUCCAGACUCCUACGGGAGGCAGCAGUGGGGAAUAUUGCACAAUGGGCGAAAGCCUGAUGCAGCCAUGCCGCGUGUAUGAAGAAGGCCUUCGGGUUGUAAAGUACUUUCAGUUGUGAGGAAGGGGGUAACGUUAAUAGCGCUAUCUCUUGACGUUAGCAACAGAAGAAGCACCGGCUAACUCCGUGCCAGCAGCCGCGGUAAUACGGAGGGUGCGAGCGUUAAUCGGAAUUACUGGGCGUAAAGCGCAUGCAGGUGGUUCAUUAAGUCAGAUGUGAAAGCCCGGGGCUCAACCUCGGAACUGCAUUUGAAACUGGUGAACUAGAGUACUGUAGAGGGGGGUAGAAUUUCAGGUGUAGCGGUGAAAUGCGUAGAGAUCUGAAGGAAUACCAGUGGCGAAGGCGGCCCCCUGGA